Molecule: long non-coding RNA, 1243 nt
Organism: Harpia harpyja (harpy eagle)
Lineage: Eukaryota; Metazoa; Chordata; Aves; Accipitriformes; Accipitridae
Exons: 4
Source: RefSeq, a predicted model, not a curated record
CAGUUCUGAAGCCCAGGUUCAAGAGAAAAUCAUGUACACAUUGUCUACAGAAGGAGGCAGAAAAGAAUCACCAGAACUCCUGUUCUGAUUCUGGAGUUCUACUGAAUCAUUGACAGCCAUGGCAACAUGAUGGGAAAGGAGACAGGAGCACCAUGCUAUUGGAGCUGUGAAGCAGAGAGACUGUUGCUGCUUGAGUUGAUUAUAGCUGGCAAGAAUAUCUCCUCCUGUGGAGCAAGGGAACCUUGGAGUCCUGAGAGCUCUUUCUUCGUAUAGAAUGCUUACAACUUUUCCAUUCUUUGCAAAGAGCCUGGAAGCCUGGAGUCGCCAAAUCUUAGAUAUCAAUAGGAAUGCUUCUCAAGAGUUAGACAUGGAAAUUUCCCUGACUCCUCUGAGUGAUGGUGGUUGAGCUACAGCAGUACAGUGGAAAAGCAGGACACUGUUUUAACACCUGUAUAAGAUCAUGUAACCAUCAUCUCAUGAACUGCUUUAUGUUUUCAGUUGGUUUGGGUUUUGCUGGGUUUUUUUGGUUUGUUUUUCUUUAGCUCACAUUUUCGUAAAGGUAGAAUAUAGAGAUUGCUUUCUUACUUUCCCCAUUCCUUUUGCCACUGCUGACAUAAACUGUUUCAUUAAAGACAUGGAUUAGGUAUAAAUUUUGGCUUGGUGCCCUUUGUAGUGCUCAAAAAUAUCCAGAAUGCUGCUGCACAAUUUAUUCCUGUAGCUUGUUCCCGUUUUGACAUCAGCCUUUAUUUUCUCUCUCUUUUCUGAUUCCUUUUCUUCUGUCACAUCAAAUAUAAGCUAGUAGUCUUUACUGUCUCUGAGCGUGAUGCCAGCCAAAAAAAUCCAACAACAAAAAAAAGCACUUGACAGUCAUUAUUAUGCUGUUGUGCUAAGUCUACUGCUUAGUACACUGACAAUAUUAGCUCAUCAUUUCCUUUAACUCUCUGUCUGUUUGCUUAUAUCCAUCUAGUUGUCUUUUGCCCUGUACUUAAUUUGAAAGCCCUUUGGAGCCAUCUGAAGAUCAGUAAAGUUCAGCCAUGGGCAUUACAGCAAUGAAAUUAAUAACUAUUAAUAUUAAUCUCUAGAAUCAGAUAGCAUGAGACUAUGAAAGGAGCUUUUAGAUCUAGAUGGAAUUACAACACUUCUAAUACUGCUGAUGAAGCAAUACUGAUUGUAUAAAAGCUGUGAAAACUGUACAGAUUUCAUAGAAAUGUAUGUAAAAAUAAAAUUAAUUCCAGUCUUCUUU